AAAUUUGAGAGGAGCUGUCCUUAGUACGAGAGGACCGGGAUGGACAUACCUCUGGUGUACCAGUUGUCGUGCCAACGGCAUAGCUGGGUAGCUAUGUAUGGACGGGAUAAGUGCUGAAAGCAUCUAAGCAUGAAGCCCCCCUCAAGAUGAGAUUUCCCAACUUCGGUUAUAAGAUCCCUCAAAGAUGAUGAGGUUAAUAGGUUCGGGGUGGAAGCAUAGCGAUAUGUGGAGCUGACGAAUACUAAUCGAUCGAAGACUUAAUCAAUUU
Molecule: ribosomal RNA, 268 nt
Filed under: Staphylococcus simulans UMC-CNS-990
Lineage: Bacteria; Bacillati; Bacillota; Bacilli; Caryophanales; Staphylococcaceae
Description: partial 23S ribosomal RNA
Rfam family: Bacterial large subunit ribosomal RNA
Source: RNAcentral